AUUGAACGCUGGCGGCAUGCCUAACACAUGCAAGUCGAACGGCAGCACAGCAGUAGCAAUACUGUGGGUGGCGAGUGGGCGGACGGGUGAGGAAUACGUCGGAAUCUGCCCAGUCGUGGGGGAUAACUAGCCGAAAGGUUAGCUAAUACCGCAUACGACCGAGAGGUGAAAGCGGGGACCGCAAGGCCUCGCGCGAUUGGAUGAGCCGACGUCGGAUUAGCUAGUUGGCGGGGUAAAGGCCCACCAAGGCGACGAUCCGUAGCUGGUCUGAGAGGAUGAUCAGCCACACUGGAACUGAGACACGGUCCAGACUCCUACGGGAGGCAGCAGUGGGAAUAUUGGACAAUGGGCGCAAGCCUGAUCCAGCAAUGCCGCGUGUGUGAAGAAGGCCUUCGGGUUG
RNAcentral lists this ribosomal RNA (400 nucleotides) under uncultured bacterium. Its description in RNAcentral is "bacterial SSU rRNA". It matches the Rfam family "Bacterial small subunit ribosomal RNA", at positions 29 to 425 of the family's 1533-position model. The record is from RNAcentral.